UACGUAGGGGGCAAGCGUUGUCCGGAUUUAUUGGGCGUAAAGAGCGUGUAGGCGGCCUGAAAGGUCAGCUGUGAAAACUCGAGGCUCAACCUCGAGACGUCGGUUGAAACCAUCUGGCUAGAGUCCGGAAGAGGAGAGUGGAAUUCCCGGUGUAGCGGUGAAAUGCGCAGAUAUCGGGAAGAACACCCGUGGCGAAGGCGGCUCUCUGGGACGGUACUGACGCUGAGACGCGAAAGCGUGGGGAGCGAACAGGC
This 254-nucleotide ribosomal RNA is filed under the name uncultured bacterium. RNAcentral describes it as "partial 16S ribosomal RNA". It matches the Rfam family "Bacterial small subunit ribosomal RNA", at positions 524 to 777 of the family's 1533-position model. The record is from RNAcentral.